GAUGAACGCUAGCGGGAGGCCUAACACAUGCAAGCCGAGUGGUAUUUGUUCUUCGGGACAGAGAGAGCGGCGUACGGGUGCGGAACACGUGUGCAACCUACCUUUAUCAGGGGGAUAGCCUUUCGAAAGGAAGAUUAAUACCCCAUAAUAUAUUGACUGGCAUCAGUUAGUAUUGAAAACUCCGGUGGAUAGAGAUGGGCACGCGCGAGAUUAGAUAGUUGGUAGGGUAACGGCCUACCAAGUCAGUGAUCUUUAGGGGGCCUGAGAGGGUGAUCCCCCACACUGGUACUGAGACACGGACCAGACUCCUACGGGAGGCAGCAGUGAGGAAUAUUGGACAAUGGGUGAAAGCCUGAUCCAGCCAUCCCGCGUGAAGGACGACGGUUCUAUGGAUUGUAAACUUCUUUUAUAUAGGGAUAAACCUCUUUACGUGUAAAGAGCUGAAGGUACUAUAUGAAUAAGCACCGGCUAACUCCGUGCCAGCAGCCGCGGUAAUACGGAGGGUGCAAGCGUUAUCCGGAUUUAUUGGGUUUAAAGGGUCCGUAGGCGGAUCUGUAAGUCAGUGGUGAAAUCUCAUAGCUUAACUAUGAAACUGCCAUUGAUACUGCAGGUCUUGAGUAAAGUAGAAGUGGCUGGAAUAAGUAGUGUAGCGGUGAAAUGCAUAGAUAUUACUUAGAACACCAAUUGCGAAGGCAGGUCACUAUGUUUUAACUGACGCUGAUGGACGAAAGCGUGGGGAGCGAACAGGAUUAGAUACCCUGGUAGUCCACGCCGUAAACGAUGCUAACUCGUUUUUGGGACUUCGGUUUCAGAGACUAAGCGAAAGUGAUAAGUUAGCCACCUGGGGAGUACGUUCGCAAGAAUGAAACUCAAAGGAAUUGACGGGGGCCCGCACAAGCGGUGGAUUAUGUGGUUUAAUUCGAUGAUACGCGAGGAACCUUACCAAGGCUUAAAUGGGAAUUGACAGGUUUAGAAAUAGACUUUUCUUCGGACAAUUUUCAAGGUGCUGCAUGGUUGUCGUCAGCUCGUGCCGUGAGGUGUUAGGUUAAGUCCUGCAACGAGCGCAACCCCUGUCACUAGUUGCCAUCAUUCAGUUGGGGACUCUAGUGAGACUGCCUACGCAAGUAGAGAGGAAGGUGGGGAUGACGUCAAAUCAUCACGGCCCUUACGCCUUGGGCCACACACGUAAUACAAUGGCCAGUACAGAGGGCAGCUACCUAGCGAUAGGAUGCGAAUCUCGAAAGCUGGUCUCAGUUCGGAUUGGAGUCUGCAACUCGACUCUAUGAAGCUGGAAUCGCUAGUAAUCGCGCAUCAGCCAUGGCGCGGUGAAUACGUUCCCGGGCCU
RNAcentral lists this ribosomal RNA (1345 nucleotides) under uncultured bacterium. RNAcentral describes it as "bacterial SSU rRNA". It matches the Rfam family "Bacterial small subunit ribosomal RNA", at positions 28 to 1381 of the family's 1533-position model. The record is from RNAcentral.